AACAGGCCCCACCUCCUCUGAUCCAGUGCUGAUUUCUUCUGUUGACGUCUUUCUACAGCAGAUGGCUUUACGCAUAAAUCCUAUUAUCAUCUUUCUGCUGAUGGCGACACCGUGAAUGCAGGUUCUGUCGCUCUUUCAUAGUCUGCACUGAAAAACCUGUAGGUUAUUGUUUUUUUUCUUACCUCUGUAGAAGAAGACCUGGUGGAACUGAAGCCACAUCAUGUCUGCAGAGAAGAAACCAAAAAAGAAGAAAGACGAGGCCAAUGUCAAAACAGAAGCCAAGUCAAACGGAACUGAGUCCAAGCCCAAAAAAAUGAAGACCAAGAAGAAUGAGAACACAUUAGAAGAGGACAGUCCCGCUAUCCAAAAUGGAAAGAAGGUGAAGAAAAAGAAACCA
This is a long non-coding RNA of Thalassophryne amazonica, 397 nucleotides long. RefSeq lists it as uncharacterized. Lineage: Eukaryota; Metazoa; Chordata; Actinopteri; Batrachoidiformes; Batrachoididae. The transcript is spliced from 3 exons. The record is from RefSeq and is a predicted model, not a curated record.